UAGUUGCAAGGUAUAGACCCGAAACCCGGUGAUCUAGCCAUGGGCAGGUUGAAGGUUGGGUAACACUAACUGGAGGACCGAACCGACUAAUGUUGAAAAAUUAGCGGAUGACUUGUGGCUGGGGGUGAAAGGCCAAUCAAACCGGGAGAUAGCUGGUUCUCCCCGAAAGCUAUUUAGGUAGCGCCUCGUGAACUCAUCUUCGGGGGUAGAGCACUGUUUCGGCUAGGGGGCCAUCCCGGCUUACCAAACCGAUGCAAACUCCGAAUACCGAAGAAUGUUAUCACGGGAGACACACGGCGGGUGCUAACGUCCGUCGUGAAGAGGGAAACAACCCAGACCGCCAGCUAAGGUCCCAAAGUCAUGGUUAAGUGGGAAACGAUGUGGGAAGGCAUAGACAGCCAGGAUGUUGGCUUAGAAGCAGCCAUCAUUUAAAGAAAGCGUAAUAGCUCACUGGUCGAGUCGGCCUGCGCGGAAGAUGUAACGGGGCUAAACCAUGCACCGAAGCUGCGGCAGCGACGCUUAGGCGUUGUUGGGUAGGGGAGCGUUCUGUAAGCCGUUGAAGGUGAACUGUGAGGUUUGCUGGAGGUAUCAGAAGUGCGAAUGCUGACAUAAGUAACGAUAAAGCGGGUGAAAAACCCGCUCGCCGGAAGACCAAGGGUUCCUGUCCAACGUUAAUCGGGGCAGGGUGAGUCGACCCCUAAGGCGAGGCCGAAAGGCGUAGUCGAUGGGAAACAGGUUAAUAUUCCUGUACUCGGUGUUACUGCGAAGGGGGGACGGAGAAGGCUAGGCUAGCCGGGCGACGGUUGUCCCGGUUUAAGCGUGUAGGGGGAGUGACCUGGUAAAUCCGGUUACUUACUAACCCUGAGGCGUGAUGACGAUGCACUACGGUGCAGAAGUAGUUGAUGCCCAGCUUCCAGGAAAAGCCUCUAAGCAUCAGGUAACAUCAAAUCGUACCCCAAACCGACACAGGUGGUCAGGUAGAGAAUACCCAGGCGCUUGAGAGAACUCGGGUGAAGGAACUAGGCAAAAUGGUGCCGUAACUUCGGGAGAAGGCACGCUGGCGCGUAGGUGAAGAGACUUGCUCUCGGAGCUGAAGCCAGUCGCAGAUACCAGCUGGCUGCAACUGUUUAAUAAAAACACAGCACUGUGCAAACACGAAAGUGGACGUAUACGGUGUGACGCCUGCCCGGUGCUGGAAGGUUAAUUGAUGGGGUCAGCCGCAAGGCGAAGCUCUUGAUCGAAGCCCCAGUAAACGGCGGCCGUAACUAUAACGGUCCUAAGGUAGCGAAAUUCCUUGUCGGGUAAGUUCCGACCUGCACGAAUGGCGUAAUGAUGGCCAGGCUGUCUCCACCCGAGACUCAGUGAAAUUGAACUCGCUGUGAAGAUGCAGUGUACCCGCGGCAAGACGGAAAGACCCCGUGAACCUUUACUAUAGCUUGACACUGAACAUUGAGCCUUGAUGUGUAGGAUAGGUGGGAGGCUUUGAAGUGUGGACGCCAGUCUGCAUGGAGCCAACCUUGAAAUACCACCCUUUAAUGUUUGAUGUUCUAACUCGGCCCCGUAAUCCGGGGUGAGGACAGUGUCUGGUGGGUAGUUUGACUGGGGCGGUCUCCUCCCAAAGAGUAACGGAGGAGCACGAAGGUUAGCUAAUCACGGUCGGACAUCGUGAGGUUAGUGCAAAGGCAUAAGCUAGCUUGACUGCGAGAGUGACGGCUCGAGCAGGUACGAAAGUAGGUCUUAGUGAUCCGGUGGUUCUGAAUGGAAGGGCCAUCGCUCAACGGAUAAAAGGUACUCCGGGGAUAACAGGCUGAUACCGCCCAAGAGUUCAUAUCGACGGCGGUGUUUGGCACCUCGAUGUCGGCUCAUCACAUCCUGGGGCUGAAGUAGGUCCCAAGGGUAUGGCUGUUCGCCAUUUAAAGUGGUACGCGAGCUGGGUUUAGAACGUCGUGAGACAGUUCGGUCCCUAUCUGCCGUGGGCGUUGGAAGAUUGAGAGGGGUUGCUCCUAGUACGAGAGGACCGGAGUGAACGCACCACUGGUGUUCGGGUUGUCAUGCCAAUGGCACUGCCCGGUAGCUAAGUGCGGAAAAGAUAAGCGCUGAAAGCAUCUAAGCGCGAAACUUGCCUCGAGAUGAGUCUUCCCUGGGCCUUUAAGGCCCCUGAAGGAACGUUUAAGACUAAGACGUUGAUAGGCUGGGUGUGUAAGUGCAGCGAUGCAUUGAGCUAACCAGUACUAAUGAUCCGUGAGGCUUAACCUU
This 2256-nucleotide ribosomal RNA is filed under the name Serratia silvae. Its description in RNAcentral is "partial 23S ribosomal RNA". It matches the Rfam family "Bacterial large subunit ribosomal RNA", at positions 697 to 2925 of the family's 2925-position model. Lineage: Bacteria; Pseudomonadati; Pseudomonadota; Gammaproteobacteria; Enterobacterales; Yersiniaceae. The record is from RNAcentral.